This 975-nucleotide ribosomal RNA is filed under the name Triticum aestivum (bread wheat). RNAcentral describes it as "partial small subunit ribosomal RNA". Lineage: Eukaryota; Viridiplantae; Streptophyta; Magnoliopsida; Poales; Poaceae. The record is from RNAcentral.
AUGCACACAGCUCUAGUUUCUGGUUGGGCUGGCUCAAUGGCUUUAUACGAAUUAGCAGUUUUUGAUCCCUCUGAUCCUGUUCUGGAUCCAAUGUGGAGACAAGGUAUGUUCGUAAUUCCCUUCAUGACUCGUUUAGGAAUAACGGAUUCGUGGGGUGGUUGGAGUAUUUCAGGAGGAACUGUAACAAAUCCGGGUAUUUGGAGUUAUGAAGGUGUGGCAGGUACGCAUAUUGUGUUUUCUGGCUUGUGUUUCUUGGCAGCGAUCUGGCAUUGGGUAUAUUGGGACCUAGAAAUAUUCUCUGAUGAGCGGACGGGAAAACCCUCUUUGGAUUUGCCCAAGAUCUUUGGAAUUCAUUUAUUUCUUGCAGGGGUGGCUUGCUUUGGCUUUGGGGCAUUUCAUGUAACGGGUUUGUAUGGUCCUGGGAUAUGGGUAUCCGAUCCUUAUGGGCUAACUGGAAAAGUACAAGCUGUAAAUCCAGCGUGGGGUGCAGAAGGUUUUGAUCCUUUUGUUCCGGGGGGAAUAGCUUCUCAUCAUAUUGCUGCGGGUACAUUGGGUAUAUUAGCGGGCUUAUUCCAUCUUAGUGUCCGUCCGCCUCAACGUCUAUAUAAAGGAUUACGUAUGGGCAAUAUUGAAACUGUACUUUCCAGUAGUAUCGCUGCUGUUUUUUUUGCAGCUUUCGUAGUUGCUGGAACUAUGUGGUAUGGGUCAGCAACGACCCCAAUCGAAUUAUUUGGGCCUACUCGUUAUCAGUGGGAUCAGGGAUACUUUCAGCAAGAAAUAUAUCGAAGAGUUAGCAAUGGUUUAGCCGAAAAUCUUAGUUUAUCAGAAGCUUGGUCUAAAAUUCCCGAAAAAUUAGCCUUUUAUGAUUAUAUUGGUAAUAAUCCGGCAAAAGGGGGAUUAUUCAGAGCAGGCUCAAUGGACAAUGGGGAUGGAAUAGGUGUGGACCAAUUACUAGAGCUCGCGCACGCCAAUUAA